This is a long non-coding RNA of Cercocebus atys (sooty mangabey), 253 nucleotides long. RefSeq lists it as uncharacterized. The record is from RefSeq and is a predicted model, not a curated record. Lineage: Eukaryota; Metazoa; Chordata; Mammalia; Primates; Cercopithecidae. The transcript has a single exon.
AACAGCGGCAGCUCGGGAAUGGGGGCUUGGAGCGCGGCGACGGCGGCGGGGCUGGGGCCGGCGCGGAGGAGGGGACGGCCCAGUCCCUCCGCCAGUGCCCGCCCCGAGCCGGAGCAGAGGGGCGCGUCGGGGCCUCGGGCUGGGAAGCUGCGGGCGGUCCCGCUCACGCGCCCAUUGGUCGCUGCGCUGCCGGGGGAGGCCGGGGCCGCGGAGCCACGUCGCCAGCCAGGGUGGUGGGCGCGGGGCUAAUGUU